ACUCGGGGUUGGAGCACUCCUGAAGCAGAGGGCAGCCCAACAACUCCUCUCCUUUCUAACUUCCUCUCUGUGACUCCGUCCCCGGUCUCCGAGCUCCAGUUACCUAUUUUCAUGGCUAGCAGACCCUAGAUUGGGAAAAUCGAUCCCAUUGUUAAAUCAUCGAAAUCAAUCCGGAGUCUUUUUCCGAGAUAGUCGUCGUACAUCUGGCCACGGGCCGCCACUGGUCACAGUAGUUGGUUGCCUCCAGCGAAUCUACAAUUCACAAAUUUUUGAAUUUGUCUGCAAUGAUCUGCUAUUCUGCUUCGUUUCGCUUUGGUCAAUCUCGACCACCUCAAUGAAAUCCCGUAGUAACCAACAACCUCAUGAUGCCUAGAUCGAGAGGGCUCAUGGCCAAUCCUUGCUUGUUCAUGUUCUGAUCGAUCCCAGUGAACAAUUUGAAUUGAACUCAAAAGAGCACCCACUUCCUUCACCAGUUUUUGGCACUAGAGGUGCACAAGAACCUCGCAUCUUCACCAGCAAAAUUGACGAAAAAAUAGCAUGAUAAGAUGAAGCCUAUGAUUGCAAGGUGCCUACGCCGAGCAAAAUCGUUGCCGGCCGUCACCCUCUUGGUGAUCAGUGGAGAGAAAAACCUUCUCCCUGGACUGAUCGAGCAAAGACGCCACCGCUAGGCAGCAACCUGAGUCUUCCUUGUGGAGAGAGAGAACCUAGCAUUUUUUAUUUGGUAAAUGAGAUAUGUAAAUUAUGUAUGUGAUCAUUGUACAUCUAAUUUUGUGGGGGUUGUUUACAAUAAUAUAUGUAAUGUUUUUC
Molecule: long non-coding RNA, 807 nt
Filed under: Rosa chinensis
Lineage: Eukaryota; Viridiplantae; Streptophyta; Magnoliopsida; Rosales; Rosaceae
Description: sRNA RchiOBHm_Chr2g0147801
Source: RNAcentral